This 1830-nucleotide ribosomal RNA is filed under the name Mycetina horni. RNAcentral's name for it is "SSU rRNA". It matches the Rfam family "Eukaryotic small subunit ribosomal RNA". Lineage: Eukaryota; Metazoa; Arthropoda; Insecta; Coleoptera; Endomychidae. The record is from RNAcentral.
AUGCAUGUCUCAGUACAAGCUAAAUUAAAGUGAAACCGCGAAAGGCUCAUUAAAUCAGUUAUGGUUCCUUAGAUCGUACCACAUUUACUUGGAUAACUGUGGUAAUUCUAGAGCUAAUACAUGCAAACAGAGCUCCGACCGGAAACGGAAGGAGCGCUUUUAUUAGAUCAAAACCAAUCGGUGGCGGGUUCGCUCGUCAUCGUACAAUUUGGUGACUCUGAAUAACUUUUAGCUGAUCGCACGGUCUAGCACCGGCGACGCAUCUUUCAAAUGUCUGCCUUAUCAACUGUCGAUGGUAGGUUCUGCGCCUACCAUGGUUGUAACGGGUAACGGGGAAUCAGGGUUCGAUUCCGGAGAGGGAGCCUGAGAAACGGCUACCACAUCCAAGGAAGGCAGCAGGCGCGCAAAUUACCCACUCCCGGCACGGGGAGGUAGUGACGAAAAAUAACGAUACGGGACUCAUCCGAGGCCCCGUAAUCGGAAUGAGUACACUCUAAACCCUUUAACGAGGAUCAAUUGGAGGGCAAGUCUGGUGCCAGCAGCCGCGGUAAUUCCAGCUCCAAUAGCGUAUAUUAAAGUUGUUGCGGUUAAAAAGCUCGUAGUCGAAUCUGUGUCCCGCGCCGCCGGUUCAUCGUUCGCGGUGUUAACUGGCGUGUCGCGGGACGUCCUGCCGGCGGGCUUAGCUCGUGAGGGCGGCCCAACACAAUCCCGCCGCGGUGCUCUUCGCUGAGUGUCGAGGUGGGCCGGCACGUUUACUUUGAACAAAUUAGAGUGCUUAAAGCAGGCCAAAACUUCGCCUGAAUACUGUGUGCAUGGAAUAAUGGAAUAGGACCUCGGUUCUAUUUUGCUGGUUUUCGGAACCCCGAGGUAAUGAUUAAUAGGAACGGAUGGGGGCAUUCGUAUUGCGACGUUAGAGGUGAAAUUCUUGGAUCGUCGCAAGACGGACAGAAGCGAAAGCAUUUGCCAAAAACGUUUUCAUUGAUCAAGAACGAAAGUUAGAGGUUCGAAGGCGAUCAGAUACCGCCCUAGUUCUAACCAUAAACGAUGCCAGCUAGCGAUCCGCCGACGUUCCUCCGAUGACUCGGCGGGCAGCUUCCGGGAAACCAAAGCUUUUGGGUUCCGGGGGAAGUAUGGUUGCAAAGCUGAAACUUAAAGGAAUUGACGGAAGGGCACCACCAGGAGUGGAGCCUGCGGCUUAAUUUGACUCAACACGGGAAACCUCACCAGGCCCGGACACCGGAAGGAUUGACAGAUUGAGAGCUCUUUCUUGAUUCGGUGGGUGGUGGUGCAUGGCCGUUCUUAGUUGGUGGAGCGAUUUGUCUGGUUAAUUCCGAUAACGAACGAGACUCUAGCCUGUUAACUAGGCGUAUUAGACAUCCCAAAGGCCCGCGAGAUUGGGGUUCGCUCCGAUUCUUGCGUGGUUUUUACUGUCUGCGUACAUACAAUUCUUCUUAGAGGGACAGGCGGCAUUUAGCCGCACGAGAUUGAGCAAUAACAGGUCUGUGAUGCCCUUAGAUGUUCUGGGCCGCACGCGCGCUACACUGAAGGAAUCAGCGUGUCCUCCCUGGCCGAGCGGCCCGGGUAACCCGCUGAACCUCCUUCGUGCUAGGGAUUGGGGCUUGCAAUUGUUCCCCAUGAACGAGGAAUUCCCAGUAAGCGCGAGUCAUAAGCUCGCGUUGAUUACGUCCCUGCCCUUUGUACACACCGCCCGUCGCUACUACCGAUUGAAUGAUUUAGUGAGGUCUUCGGACCGGUACGCGGUGGCGUUUCGACGUCACCGAUGUUGCUGGGAAGAUGACCAAACUUGAUCAUUUAGAGGAAGUAAAAGUC